UACGGAGGGAGCUAGCGUUGUUCGGAAUUACUGGGCGUAAAGCGCACGUAGGCGGCUAUUCAAGUCAGAGGUGAAAGCCCGGGGCUCAACCCCGGAACUGCCUUUGAAACUAGAUAGCUAGAAUCUUGGAGAGGUCAGUGGAAUUCCGAGUGUAGAGGUGAAAUUCGUAGAUAUUCGGAAGAACACCAGUGGCGAAGGCGACUGACUGGACAAGUAUUGACGCUGAGGUGCGAAAGCGUGGGGAGCAAGCAGG
This 253-nucleotide ribosomal RNA is filed under the name uncultured bacterium. RNAcentral's name for it is "partial 16S ribosomal RNA". It matches the Rfam family "Bacterial small subunit ribosomal RNA", at positions 524 to 776 of the family's 1533-position model. The record is from RNAcentral.